CUACAGGCUUAACACAUGCAAGUCGAGGGGCAGCAUGGUCUUAGCUUGCUAAGGCCGAUGGCGACCGGCGCACGGGUGAGUAACACGUAUCCAACCUGCCGUCUACUCUUGGACAGCCUUCUGAAAGGAAGAUUAAUACAAGAUGGCAUCAUGAGUCCGCAUGUUCACAUGAUUAAAGGUAUUCCGGUAGACGAUGGGGAUGCGUUCCAUUAGAUAGUAGGCGGGGUAACGGCCCACCUAGUCUUCGAUGGAUAGGGGUUCUGAGAGGAAGGUCCCCCACAUUGGAACUGAGACACGGUCCAAACUCCUACGGGAGGCAGCAGUGAGGAAUAUUGGUCAAUGGGCGAGAGCCUGAACCAGCCAAGUAGCGUGAAGGAUGACUGCCCUAUGGGUUGUAAACUUCUUUUAUAAAGGAAUAAAGUCGGGUAUGCAUACCCGUUUGCAUGUACUUUAUGAAUAAGGAUCGGCUAACUCCGUGCCAGCAGCCGCGGUAAUACGGAGGAUCCGAGCGUUAUCCGGAUUUAUUGGGUUUAAAGGGAGCGUAGAUGGAUGUUUAAGUCAGUUGUGAAAGUUUGCGGCUCAACCGUAAAAUUGCAGUUGAUACUGGAUAUCUUGAGUGCAGUUGAGGCAGGCGGAAUUCGUGGUGUAGCGGUGAAAUGCUUAGAUAUCACGAAGAACUCCGAUUGCGAAGGCAGCCUGCUAAGCUGCAACUGACAUUGAGGCUCGAAAGUGUGGGUAUCAAACAGGAUUAGAUACCCUGGUAGUCCACACGGUAAACGAUGAAUACUCGCUGUUUGCGAUAUACAGCAAGCGGCCAAGCGAAAGCGUUAAGUAUUCCACCUGGGGAGUACGCCGGCAACGGUGAAACUCAAAGGAAUUGACGGGGGCCCGCACAAGCGGAGGAACAUGUGGUUUAAUUCGAUGAUACGCGAGGAACCUUACCCGGGCUUAAAUUGCAGAUGAAUUACGGUGAAAGCCGUAAGCCGCAAGGCAUCUGUGAAGGUGCUGCAUGGUUGUCGUCAGCUCGUGCCGUGAGGUGUCGGCUUAAGUGCCAUAACGAGCGCAACCCUUGUUGUCAGUUACUAACAGGUUCCGCUGAGGACUCUGACAAGACUGCCAUCGUAAGAUGUGAGGAAGGUGGGGAUGACGUCAAAUCAGCACGGCCCUUACGUCCGGGGCUACACACGUGUUACAAUGGGGGGGUACAGAGGGCCGCUACCACGCGAGUGGAUGCCAAUCCCAAAAACCUCUCUCAGUUCGGACUGGAGUCUGCAACCCGACUCCACGAAGCUGGAUUCGCUAGUAAUCGCGCAUCAGCCACGGCGCGGUGAAUACGUUCCCGGGCCUUGUACACACCGCCCGUCAAGCCAUGGGAGCCGGGGGUACCUGAAGUGCGUAACCGCGAGGAGCGCCCUAGGGUAAAACUGGUGACUGGGGCUAAGUCAUAA
RNAcentral lists this ribosomal RNA (1448 nucleotides) under uncultured organism. RNAcentral describes it as "SSU rRNA". It matches the Rfam family "Bacterial small subunit ribosomal RNA". The record is from RNAcentral.